This 89-nucleotide transfer RNA is filed under the name Bryobacteraceae bacterium. RNAcentral's name for it is "tRNA-Tyr". It matches the Rfam family "tRNA". Rfam says of the family: Transfer RNA (tRNA) molecules are approximately 80 nucleotides in length. Their secondary structure includes four short double-helical elements and three loops (D, anti-codon, and T loops). Lineage: Bacteria; Pseudomonadati; Acidobacteriota; Terriglobia; Bryobacterales; Bryobacteraceae. The record is from RNAcentral.
GGACAGGUGGCUGAGCGGUCAAAAGCAACGGGCUGUAAACCCGUCGGGCCUUGCGUCCUACUUAGGUUCGAAUCCUAACCUGUCCACCA